This 497-nucleotide ribosomal RNA is filed under the name uncultured bacterium. Its description in RNAcentral is "partial 16S ribosomal RNA". It matches the Rfam family "Bacterial small subunit ribosomal RNA", at positions 28 to 507 of the family's 1533-position model. The record is from RNAcentral.
GAUGAACGCUGGCGGCGUGCCUAAUACAUGCAAGUCGAGCGAACGGACGAGAAGCUUGCUUCUCUGAUGUUAGCGGCGGACGGGUGCGUAACACGUGGAUAACCUAACUAUAAGAAUGGGAUACUUUCGGGAAACCGGAGCUUAUACCGGAUAAUAUUUUGCACCGAGUGGUUCCCACGUUAAAGACGGUCUUGCUGUCACUUAUAGCUGGCUCCGCGCUGCAUUCGCUAGUUGGUAAGGUAAAGGCUUACCAAGGCAACGAUGCAUAGCCGACCUGAGCGGGUGAUCGGCCACACGGGAACUGAGACACGGUCCAGACUCCGACGGGAGGCAGCAGUAGGGAAUCUUCCGCAACGGGCGAAAGCCUGACGGAGCAACGCCGCGUGAGUGAUGAAGGUCUUCGGAUCGUAAAACGCUGUUAGUAGGGAAGAACAUAUGUGUAAUUAACUGUGCACAUCUUGACGGUACCUAAACAGAAAGCCACGGCUAACUACGUG